AGGGAAUAUUGCGCAAUGGGGGAAACCCUGAUGCAGCGACGCCGCGUGAAGGAAGAAGGUAUUCGUAUUGUAAACUUCUGUCGCAGAUGACGAAAUAAUGACGGUAAUCUGUAAGAAAGCACCGGCUAACUACGUGCCAGCAGCCGCGGUAAAACGUAGGGUGCUAGCGUUGUCCGGAAUUACUGGGUGUAAAGGGAGCGCAGGUGGCAGUGCAAGUUGGAUGUAAAAUCUACGGGCUCAACCCGUAUAAGCAUUCAAAACUGUGCAGCUUGAGUGAAGUAGAGGUAGGUGGAAUUUCCGGUGUAGCGGUGGAAUGCGUAGAUAUCGGAAGGAACAUCAGUGGCGAAGGCGACCUACUGGGCUUUAACUGACGCUGAGGCUCGAAAGCAUGGGUAGCAAACAGGAUUAGAUACCCUGGUAGUCCAUGCUGUAAACGGUGAUUACUAGGUGUGGGGGCGAAAGUUUCCGUGCCGGAGUUAACACAAUAAGUAAUCCACCUGGGGAGUACGACCGCAAGGUUGAAACUCAAAGGAAUUGACGGGGGCCCGCACAAGCAGUGGAGUGGGUUGCCCCAUUCGGAAGCAACGCGAAGAACCUUACCAGGUCUUGACAUCCUGCGCAUAGUUAAGAGAUUAAUGAAAUCACUCUUUUAAAGUGACGUAUAGACAGGUGGUGCAUGUUUGUCGUCAGCGUCGUGGCGUGAGAUG
This 707-nucleotide ribosomal RNA is filed under the name uncultured Campylobacter sp. RNAcentral's name for it is "bacterial SSU rRNA". It matches the Rfam family "Bacterial small subunit ribosomal RNA", at positions 356 to 1074 of the family's 1533-position model. Lineage: Bacteria; Pseudomonadati; Campylobacterota; Epsilonproteobacteria; Campylobacterales; Campylobacteraceae. The record is from RNAcentral.